AACGCACAUUGCGCCUCCUGGCAUUCCGGGAGGCAUGCCUGUUCGAGCGUCAUUAAAACACCCCUCAAGCACUUUUGCUUGGUGUUGGGGGAGGAGGGUGCACUCGCUGCCUCUCCCCUCCGAAAUGCAAUGGCGGAGAGCUCCCACGUGCCACCGGCGUAGUAAAGUUCAGCUUUCGCCCCAAGCGUGAGGGUAAUCCUGCCCCAGAAACCCCCAAUUUCAUUCCAGGUUGACCUCGGAUCAGGUAGGGAUACCCGCUGAACUUAA
RNAcentral lists this unclassified non-coding RNA (267 nucleotides) under uncultured fungus. Its description in RNAcentral is "partial contains 5.8S ribosomal RNA, internal transcribed spacer 2, and large subunit ribosomal RNA". The record is from RNAcentral. Lineage: Eukaryota; Fungi.